Molecule: ribosomal RNA, 727 nt
Filed under: uncultured archaeon
Lineage: Archaea
Description: bacterial SSU rRNA
Rfam family: Archaeal small subunit ribosomal RNA
Source: RNAcentral
GCAAGCUUUGGGUUCGAUUAGCACUGCUAGUCGCACGAGUUUUAGACUCGUGGCAGAUAGCUCAGUAACACGUGGCCAAGCUACCCUUCAGACCAGAAUAACCUCGGGAAACUGAGGCUAAGACUGGAUACGGUAUGUAUGCUGGAAUGCGACAUACUCCAAACGUUCCGACGCUGAAGGAUGCGGCUGCGGCCGAUUAGGUAGACGGUGGGGUAACGGCCCACCGUGCCAAUAAUUGGUACGGGUGAUGAGAGUCAGAGCCCGGAGACGGAAUCUGAGACAAGAUUCCGGGCCCUACGGGGCGCAGCAGGCGCGAAACCUUUACACUGCACGGAAGUGCGAUAGGGGAAUCCCAAGUGCGAGGGCAUACUAGCCCUCGCUUUUGUUGACUGUAAGGAGGUCAACGAAUAAGAGCUGGGCAAGACCGGUGCCAGCCGCCGCGGUAAUACCGGCAGCUCGAGUGAUGUCCAAUAUUAUUGGGCCUAAAGCGUCCGUAGCUGGCCAGCCAAGUUCGUCGGGAAAUCCACCUGCCCAACAGGUGGGCGUCCGGCGAAAACUGUCUGGCUUGGAACCGGAAGGCUCAGAGGGUACGUCCGGGGUAGGAGUGAAAUCCCGUAAUCCCGGACGGACCACCGAUGGCGAAAGCACUCUGAGAAGACGGAUUCGACAGUGAGGGACGAAAGCUAGGGUCUCGAACCGGAUUAGAUACCCGGGUAGUCCUAGCUGU